RNAcentral lists this non-coding RNA (45 nucleotides) under Schistosoma margrebowiei. Lineage: Eukaryota; Metazoa; Platyhelminthes; Trematoda; Strigeidida; Schistosomatidae. The record is from RNAcentral.
AUCUAGCUGACGAGUUACAAAUAGGACGAAACGCGCGUCCUGGAU